UAGCGCAGCCAGGUAGCGCACUUGACUGGAUCAAGGGGCGCUGGUUCGAUAUGAGGGCCAGCG
RNAcentral lists this transfer RNA (63 nucleotides) under Rhizobium mongolense. Its description in RNAcentral is "tRNA-Pro". The record is from RNAcentral. Lineage: Bacteria; Pseudomonadati; Pseudomonadota; Alphaproteobacteria; Hyphomicrobiales; Rhizobiaceae.